AGUGAACGCUGGCGGUAGGCCUAACACAUGCAAGUCGAACGGCAGCACAGUAAGAGCUUGCUCUUACGGGUGGCGAGUGGCGGACGGGUGAGGAAUACAUCGGAAUCUACUUUUUCGUGGGGGAUAACGUAGGGAAACUUACGCUAAUACCGCAUACGACCUACGGGUGAAAGCAGGGGAUCUUCGGACCUUGCGCGAUUGAAUGAGCCGAUGUCGGAUUAGCUAGUUGGCGGGGUAAAGGCCCACCAAGGCGACGAUCCGUAGCUGGUCUGAGAGGAUGAUCAGCCACACUGGAACUGAGACACGGUCCAGACUCCUACGGGAGGCAGCAGUGGGGAAUAUUGGACAAUGGGCGCAAGCCUGAUCCAGCCAUACCGCGUGGGUGAAGAAGGCCUUCGGGUUGUAAAGCCCUUUUGUUGGGAAAGAAAAGCAGCAGGUUAAUACCCCGCUGUUCUGACGGUACCCAACGAAUAAGCCCCGGCUAACUUCGUG
RNAcentral lists this ribosomal RNA (492 nucleotides) under uncultured bacterium. Its description in RNAcentral is "partial 16S ribosomal RNA". It matches the Rfam family "Bacterial small subunit ribosomal RNA", at positions 29 to 507 of the family's 1533-position model. The record is from RNAcentral.